AGAGUUUGAUCCUGGCUCAGGACGAAGUGGCGGCGUGCCUAAUACAUGCAAGUCGAGCGCGGGAAUUUAAAGAUUCCUUCGGGAUGACAUCUGUGGAACGAGCGGCGGAUGGGUGAGUAACACGUGGGCAACCUGCCUGUAAGACUGGGAUAACUCCGGGAAACCGGGGCUAAUACCGGAUAAGACUUUAUCUCGCAUGACAUAGAGAUGAAAGAUGGCUUUUAGCUAUCACUUACAGAUGGGCCUGCGGCGCAUUAGCUAGUUGGUGGGGUAAUGGCCUACCAAAGCGACGAUGCGUAGCCGACCUGAGAGGGUGAUCGGCCACACUGGGACUGAGACACGGUCCAGACUCCUACGGGAGGCAUCAGUAGGGAAUCUUCCGCAAUGGACGCAAGUCUGACGGAGCAACGCCGCGUGAGUGAUGAAUGUCUUCGGAUUGUAAAACUCUGUUGUUAGGGAAGAACAAGUACCGUUCGAAUAGGUCGGUACCUUGACGGUACCUAACCAGAAAGCCCCGGCUAACUACGUGCCAGCAGCCGCGGUAAUACGUAGGGGGCAAGCGUUGUCCGGAAUUAUUGGGCGUAAAGGGCGCGCAGGCGGUCUUCUAAGUCUGAUGUGAAAGCCCACGGCUUAACCGUGGAAGGUCAUUGGAAACUGGGGGACUUGAGUGCAAACAGGAGAGUGGAAUUCCAUGUGUAGCGGUGAAUGCGUACAGAUAUGGAGGAACACCAGUGGCGACGCGACUCUCUGGUCUGCAACUGACGCUGAGGCGCGAAAGCGUGUGUAGCGCACAGGAUUACAUACCCUGAUAGUCCACGCCGUAAACGAUGGGUACUAGGUGUAGGAGGUAUCGACCCCUUCUGUGCCGGAGUUAACGCAAUAAGUACCCCGCCUGGGGAGUACGUCCGCAAGGAUGAAACUCAAAGGAAUUGACGGGGGCCCGCACAAGCGGUGGAGUAUGUGGUUUAAUUCGACGCAACGCGAAGAACCUUACCAAGGCUUGACAUUGAGUGACCGCCGUAGAGAUACGGCUUCUUCUUCGGAAGCACGAAAACAGGUGGUGCAUGGCUGUCGUCAGCUCGUGUCGUGAGAUGUUGGGUUAAGUCCCGCAACGAGCGCAACCCCUAUCCUAUGUUACCAGCGGGUAAUGCCGGGGACUCAUAGGAGACUGCCAAGGACAACUUGGAGGAAGGCGGGGAUGACGUCAAGUCAUCAUGCCCCUUAUGUCUUGGGCUACACACGUACUACAAUGGUCGACAACAGAGGGAAGCGAAGCCGCGAGGCAGAGCAAACCCCAGAAACUCGAUCUCAGUUCGGAUCGCAGGCUGCAACCCGCCUGCGUGAAGUCGGAAUCGCUAGUAAUCGCAGGUCAGCAUACUGCGGUGAAUACGUUCCCGGGCCUUGUACACACCGCCCGUCACACCACGAAAGUUGGUAACACCCGAAGCCGGUGGGGUAACCGUUAGGAGCCAGCCGUCUAAGGUGGGGCCGAUGAUUGGGGUGAAGUCGUAACAAGGUA
Molecule: ribosomal RNA, 1519 nt
Filed under: uncultured bacterium
Lineage: Bacteria
Description: bacterial SSU rRNA
Rfam family: Bacterial small subunit ribosomal RNA
Source: RNAcentral